RNAcentral lists this ribosomal RNA (253 nucleotides) under uncultured bacterium. RNAcentral's name for it is "partial 16S ribosomal RNA". It matches the Rfam family "Bacterial small subunit ribosomal RNA", at positions 524 to 776 of the family's 1533-position model. The record is from RNAcentral.
UACGGGGGGAGCAAGCGUUGUUCGGAAUUACUGGGCGUAAAGGGCUCGUAGGUGGCCAACUAAGUCAGACGUGAAAUCCCUCGGCUUAACCGGGGAACUGCGUCUGAUACUGGAUGGCUUGAGUUCGGGAGAGGGAUGCGGAAUUCCAGGUGUAGCGGUGAAAUGCGUAGAUAUCUGGAGGAACACCGGUGGCGAAGGCGGCAUCCUGGACCGGCACUGACACUGAGGAGCGAAAGCCAGGGGAGCAAACGGG